AAGUCGUAACAAGGUUUCCGUAGGUGAACCUGCGGAGGGAUCAUUAACACGUAUCCUACGUAUAUACCAACCGUGAACUUGUUCUUUGCUUUAACUAGAGUAUCAGAGUUUUGGUGAAGCUUGGCGUGAUAAAGGUGGGCAACCACUUGCCGGUUUCAUCCUCUGGGCGCAAGCUCGGGACUCGCUAGUUAGGGCGUACCUGUUUCCUUAUCACGAAACAAUUGAUUUAUUUCAAUUUAUUAACCAUUUGUACUUCUUUUGUACUAAAACCAUGCAACUUUUUCACGCUUUCGAGUGUGAACUGUUGUAUAUUACGAAACGUAAAACAACUCUUAGCAACGGAUAUCUUGGUUCUG
Molecule: unclassified non-coding RNA, 356 nt
Filed under: fungal sp.
Lineage: Eukaryota; Fungi
Description: partial internal transcribed spacer region
Rfam family: Eukaryotic small subunit ribosomal RNA (bases 1-46)
Source: RNAcentral